GCUGGGUGCAGAGGUGCACACCUGUAAUCCCAGUGACUUGGAGGCUGAGGCAAGAGGAUCAGAAGUUCUAGACUAUCGUUAGCAACUCAGUGAGACCCUGUCUCAA
This 106-nucleotide small RNA is filed under the name Marmota monax (woodchuck). The record is from RNAcentral. Lineage: Eukaryota; Metazoa; Chordata; Mammalia; Rodentia; Sciuridae.